This 501-nucleotide ribosomal RNA is filed under the name uncultured bacterium. Its description in RNAcentral is "partial 16S ribosomal RNA". It matches the Rfam family "Bacterial small subunit ribosomal RNA", at positions 28 to 506 of the family's 1533-position model. The record is from RNAcentral.
GAUGAAUGCUGGCGGCGUGCCUAACACAUGCAAGUCGAGCGGCAGCGAGUUUUACACUGAAUUCUGGAAGCUUCUGAGUAGUACAGAAGAUUUAUUCAAGAGUUUUGUGUAAAAUGUCGGCGAGCGGCGGACGGCUGAGUAACGCGUAGGAAUUUGCCCCAAAGUGAGGAAUAACUGCCCGAAAGGGUAGCUAAUGCCGCAUAUGGUCUUCGGAUUAAAGCCUUCGGGCGCUUUGGGAGAAGCCUGCGUUGGAUUAGGUAGUUGGUAGGGUAAUGGCCUACCAAGCCGACGAUCCAUAGCUGGUCUGAGAGGAUGAUCAGCCAGACUGGAACUGAGACACGGUCCAGACUCCUGCGGGAGGCAGCAGUGAGGAAUCUUCCACAAUGGGCGAAAGCCUGAUGGAGCAACGCCGCGUGAAGGAUGAAGGCCUUCGGGUUGUAAACUUCUUUUAUGGGUGAAGAAUAUGACGGUAACUCAUGAAUAAGCACCGGCUAACUACGU